This 791-nucleotide ribosomal RNA is filed under the name Escherichia coli. RNAcentral's name for it is "partial 23S ribosomal RNA". It matches the Rfam family "Bacterial large subunit ribosomal RNA", at positions 2016 to 2806 of the family's 2925-position model. The record is from RNAcentral. Lineage: Bacteria; Pseudomonadati; Pseudomonadota; Gammaproteobacteria; Enterobacterales; Enterobacteriaceae.
CUGUCUCCACCCGAGACUCAGUGAAAUUGAACUCGCUGUGAAGAUGCAGUGUACCCGCGGCAAGACGGAAAGACCCCGUGAACCUUUACUAUAGCUUGACACUGAACAUUGAGCCUUGAUGUGUAGGAUAGGUGGGAGGCUUUGAAGUGUGGACGCCAGUCUGCAUGGAGCCGACCUUGAAAUACCACCCUUUAAUGUUUGAUGUUCUAACGUUGGCCCGUAAUCCGGGUUGCGGACAGUGUCUGGUGGGUAGUUUGACUGGGGCGGUCUCCUCCUAAAGAGUAACGGAGGAGCACGAAGGUUGGCUAAUCCUGGUCGGACAUCAGGAGGUUAGUGCAAUGGCAUAAGCCAGCUUGACUGCGAGCGUGACGGCGCGAGCAGGUGCGAAAGCAGGUCAUAGUGAUCCGGUGGUUCUGAAUGGAAGGGCCAUCGCUCAACGGAUAAAAGGUACUCCGGGGAUAACAGGCUGAUACCGCCCAAGAGUUCAUAUCGACGGCGGUGUUUGGCACCUCGAUGUCGGCUCAUCACAUCCUGGGGCUGAAGUAGGUCCCAAGGGUAUGGCUGUUCGCCAUUUAAAGUGGUACGCGAGCUGGGUUUAGAACGUCGUGAGACAGUUCGGUCCCUAUCUGCCGUGGGCGCUGGAGAACUGAGGGGGGCUGCUCCUAGUACGAGAGGACCGGAGUGGACGCAUCACUGGUGUUCGGGUUGUCAUGCCAAUGGCACUGCCCGGUAGCUAAAUGCGGAAGAGAUAAGUGCUGAAAGCAUCUAAGCACGAAACUUGCCCCGAGAUG